This 1360-nucleotide ribosomal RNA is filed under the name uncultured soil bacterium. RNAcentral's name for it is "bacterial SSU rRNA". It matches the Rfam family "Bacterial small subunit ribosomal RNA", at positions 28 to 1381 of the family's 1533-position model. The record is from RNAcentral.
AUUGAACGCUGGCGGCAUGCCUUACACAUGCAAGUCGAACGGCAGCACGGGAGCAAUCCUGGUGGCGAGUGGCGAACGGGUGAGUAAUGUAUCGGAACGUACCUUUCAGUGGGGGAUAACGUAGCGAAAGUUACGCUAAUACCGCAUAUUCUGUGCGCAGGAAAGCAGGGGAUCGCAAGACCUUGCGCUGAUUGAGCGGCCGAUAUCAGAUUAGCUAGUUGGUGAGGUAAAGGCUCACCAAGGCGACGAUCUGUAGCGGGUCUGAGAGGAUGAUCCGCCACACUGGAACUGAGACACGGUCCAGACUCCUACGGGAGGCAGCAGUGGGGAAUUUUGGACAAUGGGGGCAACCCUGAUCCAGCCAUGCCGCGUGAGUGAAGAAGGCCUUCGGGUUGUAAAGCUCUUUCGGCCGGGAAGAAAUCGCAUGGGUUAAUACCCUAUGCGGAUGACGGUACCGGCAUAAGAAGCACCGGCUAACUACGUGCCAGCAGCCGCGGUAAUACGUAGGGUGCGAGCGUUAAUCGGAAUUACUGGGCGUAAAGCGUGCGCAGGCGGUUUUGUAAGACAGGCGUGAAAUCCCCGGGCUCAACCUGGGAACUGCGCUUGUGACUGCAAGGCUAGAGUAUGGCAGAGGGGGGUGGAAUUCCACGUGUAGCAGUGAAAUGCGUAGAGAUGUGGAGGAACACCAAUGGCGAAGGCAGCCCCCUGGGCCAAUACUGACGCUCAUGCACGAAAAGCGUGGGUAGCAAACAGGAUUAGAUACCCUGGUAGUCCACGCCCUAAACGAUGUCAACUAGGUGUUGGGUGGGUAAAACCAUUUAGUACCGGAGCUAACGCGUGAAGUUGACCGCCUGGGGAGUACGGCCGCAAGGUUAAAACUCAAAGGAAUUGACGGGGACCCGCACAAGCGGUGGAUGAUGUGGAUUAAUUCGAUGCAACGCGAAAAACCUUACCUACCCUUGACAUGUCCAGGAGCCUGAAGAGAUUUGGGUGUGCCCGAAAGGGAACUGGAACACAGGUGCUGCAUGGCUGUCGUCAGCUCGUGUCGUGAGAUGUUGGGUUAAGUCCCGCAACGAGCGCAACCCUUGUCGUUAAUUGCCAUCAUUCAGUUGGGCACUUCAACGAGACUGCCGGUGACAAACCGGAGGAAGGUGGGGAUGACGUCAAGUCCUCAUGGCCCUUAUGGGUAGGGCUUCACACGUCAUACAAUGGUCGGUACAAAGGGUCGCCAACCCGCGAGGGGGAGCCAAUCCCAGAAAGCCGAUCGUAGUCCGGAUCGUAGGCUGCAACUCGCCUGCGUGAAGUCGGAAUCGCUAGUAAUCGUGGGUCAGCAUGUCACGGUGAAUACGUUCCCGGGUCU